Long non-coding RNA from Salvia miltiorrhiza (redroot sage), 482 nucleotides. RefSeq lists it as uncharacterized. NCBI's taxonomy places the organism in Eukaryota, Viridiplantae, Streptophyta, Magnoliopsida, Lamiales, Lamiaceae. The record is from RefSeq and is a predicted model, not a curated record. The transcript has 2 exons.
ACCCACUCCCUACCCUUCUAAAUUUCUAAUAAAACCCUGCUUGAAGUCCACAAAAUCAGAUUUUGAAAAACCACCAUCUUUGGGAGCCAUUUUUUUGCACUAAAAACUGGAAACAUUUGGCGACUUUGAAAGAGAAACGUCUAUGCCAUCUGCGUCGUCCGUUGUCGAUCACCGGCAGCUACCGAUCGGAGUUUGUGAUUCACCGUGGUUGCUUUCCAAAUGGCUUCGAAUAUCCAAGGACUUGAGUCAGGGAACAGCGAUGCUAGUCGUUGCCGGGCAAAUAAAACCCAACAGACUCGCCGAUCAUGGUCUACGAGGGAGGAGCUUGUGUUGUUGUCUACUUUAAAAGAAUUAGUAGCACAAGGAUGGAAGUCGGACAAUUGGCAGCAGGAUAAUCGGCAAUUCGAUGAAUAAAUAUGAAAUAAACCACAAUAAAGAAUUGGAAACUACAUAACGGCAAUGAAGCGAGCACAUUUUAUGCA